This is a long non-coding RNA of Passer domesticus (house sparrow), 2619 nucleotides long. RefSeq lists it as uncharacterized. Lineage: Eukaryota; Metazoa; Chordata; Aves; Passeriformes; Passeridae. The transcript has 2 exons. The record is from RefSeq and is a predicted model, not a curated record.
UGAACAAUUUCCCAGCACAUCCUGCAGCCUGUUCCAAAGACAGCACAUUGGCACAGUUACUCCUGCAGGGUUAACAGGCCCAUGUUCACACACAGCAGGGCUCAGAGAACAGCAGCCACUUGCUGCAAGCUCCUCAGAGGGCCAGAACUCAUCUCCAGGCUCACAGCCUGAUGGAAGAAGCCCCCACACAAACGGGGGUUUCUCUCAGCAAGUAGCAGCCCAGCACACAGGUUUGCUGCCUGAGGCAUUCCAACAGCACUUUCUCCAGAGGCAAAAGGAGGAGCUCCUCUCUUCCAGGCUUUCCAAUUGGACACAAGCAUUAUGCAAUGGCCACCAAAAUACAAACACUCAGAGUGGAUCAAAUUCAAAGGAAACGGAAAAAUUCAGUUCAGGCACACUGGUAUUCCAUACAUUUUUAUAAAUGAGUGACAAUUCUACACCUGUAGCAGGUUCCACAUUGAAAUCUACACUGCCAAGAUGCAGACACAAAUCCCUGGUUCUCCAGAUCUUAAAAUGUUCACAGGACAUUGCACACUUCAAAAUAAGCUGUGGCAUUCUGGCAAAACAGAAGUCUCUCUGCUAUGGCAGCAACACACCUGAAGGCAGCAACUGACUUUUCAAAGAGCUGAAAUUUCAACCCUGGUAUUUCAAGAACAGUUACUUUUGAUCACCAAGGACAAUUUCUUCAACUUCUUUGAUGAAGACUUCUGCUGAAGGCUGAAAGACUUCCCAAAUACCUGUUUGUCCUGAUAUGCAUCAGGAAUUAUUGAUAUUGGCUUGACAAAAUUUCUAAAAUAUACAUAUUUUUAACACAAUACAUUUAUUCUUUUUAGAGAAGAAUUGUUUUCUUCAGCAAAGGUAUUUGCAGAUCAAUAAUUCAGAGAGAAAAUCCUUACAAAUUAUAACUUAAAAAUCCUGAGCUAAAUGAAACGUUUAAUUAAGAGCUGCUUUCUUUUAUAGCCAUCAUCAAAGGAAAUUUACAAUUAUGGCCCUUACAUUUGUUUUGUAGAAGUCAAAUAUUAGGAAAAAGCAUUCAGAUGUGCUCUGCACACAUACCUGCUGGUAAUAUAAAUAACAAGAAAGCAGCUAUUAAAUCAAUAUAUAAAAAAUAUAUUUGAGAAAUGUUCAUUUUUGAGUACAUAAAUCUGUCAAAACAAAGUGCAUGCUUUACUCACACAAAGCUCCCAAAUCAACCAUUUGAAAGCACCACUGGCUGUGCUCUGCCUGUACAAAUCUUGUGGUGAACCAGGGUGGUGUGCAUUUAACUGGCAAUGCUCCAGGGGAAUGUCAGCACUCCAGGGGAUUUCCCAGACGUACAGAAAGCAACUGGGGAGCACCUCGGGCUGUGGAUUCCCUGCCAGCUGUAUCCAGGCUGGGAGAGCUUGUCAGUUAAAGGAAACCCUCCAGCCAUGGCCUGAUUUGGUAACAGACAGAUAGUCCUAAAUCUUCUGUUUUGUAAAACAAGUUUUGCAGAAGCAAGAGAAUAACCAGAGCAAAGUCUGAUGUUAUUAGUGUUAUUAUUAUACUGACUUUCCUGCCCUUCACAUGUGCAAGGAGUGGGUAUGUGUGCAAACACAAGAGUAGUGAUUUGUUCUGUUGUGGUAACUAAACGUUACUGAAUGAACGUUAAAUGCUGAACAAGAACCUGACUCCUGCUCCUCAUCUUCUCCUAAACAUCCCUCCUACAAGGAAUAGACUCUGGGGACUGGUUUCCCUCAAUAGGAACAUCUGGUAACAGACGUUAUGCUUGUUAGUUCUCAUUCUGCAGUGCAGUUGGAAGGCACUGUUAGAAUAACGGAACAUUAGUGCUGGAAACAAUCAACGACCUUUUCUCCCCUAAUUUCCCAUGGUGAUGGGACUGGCUUUCAGCAAACCUGAUUUCAAGCUGCUUCUCUGACAGAGAGGAAUGUUCUAACCUUUAGUGCCUCCAUGCCAGCCUGGAUAACUGGAGCGAAGAUGGUCUCACUCUCGUUAGUAUCUGCAAACAACUCUGGAAUCUGGUCCAACAAGCUAUGAAAGAGAAAGGAUCAGUGUCUCAACUGGUCAGUGUAAGGCUCCCAGCCAGAAUAAAAGAAAAUAUGCAUUUUUUAUUUCCAUGAGAUGCAUUGUUUCAAAGCUUGUUACCUAAAGGAACAGGCAAUAAAUAAAAAAAAUAGCUAACCAUUAAGUAGUUCUGGUGUGCUGUAAGGACUUCAGAGUCCUAAGAUCAUACCCAGGCACACAUCAUGUGCAUUGCAAGAGGGAAAACACUAUGUGUCUCACACCUGGCCCACAUAACCUUUCCAGUUUGGCACCACAAGGCCACAGCUAUUGCUUUUUCUUUGCCUCAGAGGAGCAAACACAGGGCUUGAAGCAUCUGCAGGCUUCUGAAGUAUUUCAAUAGAUACCUGCAUGUCCACAAAUCCAACUGAUUAAAAGACAUAAUGCACAUCAUAAGCAUUCACAUCUUACUCUCAUGAAGUAUAAUUGUACUUUACUUGGUAACAACUGAUCGGGAUUCCUCAAAGUCAACAAGGAAGCCAUCCAGCAAAGGAACAAAAACUUCUGCCACAUCUGUGACCACCAUCAUCUGAGGCUGAGCUAAGCUGCUCUUUACAUUGAAGAAGUGGAGGACCUUGU